This 253-nucleotide ribosomal RNA is filed under the name uncultured bacterium. RNAcentral's name for it is "partial 16S ribosomal RNA". It matches the Rfam family "Bacterial small subunit ribosomal RNA", at positions 524 to 776 of the family's 1533-position model. The record is from RNAcentral.
UACGUAGGGUGCAAGCGUUGUCCGGAAUUAUUGGGCGUAAAGAGCUCGUAGGCGGUCUGUCGCGUCUGCUGUGAAAAUCCAGGGCUCAACCCUGGACCUGCAGUGGGUACGGGCAGACUAGAGUGCGGUAGGGGAGAUCGGAAUUCCUGGUGUAGCGGUGAAAUGCGCAGAUAUCAGGAGGAACACCGGUGGCGAAGGCGGUGGUCUGGGCCGGCACUGACGCUGAGGAGCGAAAGCGUGGGUAGCAAACAGG